AGCGAACGCUGGCGGCAUGCCUAACACAUGCAAGUCGAACGAGAUCUUCGGGUCUAGUGGCGCACGGGUGCGUAACGCGUGGGAAUCUGCCCUUCGGUUCGGAAUAACAGUUGGAAACGACUGCUAAUACCGGAUGAUGACGAAAGUCCAAAGAUUUAUCGCCAGAGGAUGAGCCCGCGUAGGAUUAGCUAGUUGGUGUGGUAAAGGCGCACCAAGGCGACGAUCCUUAGCUGGUCUGAGAGGAUGAUCAGCCACACUGGGACUGAGACACGGCCCAGACUCCUACGGGAGGCAGCAGUGGGGAAGAUUGGACAAUGGGCGAAAGCCUGAUCCAGCAAUGCCGCGUGAGUGAUGAAGGCCUUAGGGUUGUAAAGCUCUUUUACCCGGGAUGAUAAUGACAGUACCGGGAGAAUAAGCUCCGGCUAACUCCGUGCCAGCAGCCGCCGUAA
This 449-nucleotide ribosomal RNA is filed under the name uncultured bacterium. RNAcentral describes it as "partial 16S ribosomal RNA". It matches the Rfam family "Bacterial small subunit ribosomal RNA", at positions 29 to 523 of the family's 1533-position model. The record is from RNAcentral.